AAUAUAUAUAAUUCUAUGUUAUUUUCUUCAGUUAUACCGUUUCGUUCCAGAGUGCAGUCUGAAGCGUCAUUUCCCACAACUGAUCCUAUGCCUUUCAGGGGUUGAGAAUCUUCAUCCUCAUCACAAGAGCGGCCGGAAACGCACGAUGGCGGCUUCUUCCGGUCCCUGCUCGGCUAGCUGGUCCUCAGCCUGGAGCGGCUCCAGAACUCUUCUCAGGAGUGUGUGAGAGAGACAGAAGCAUCCACUGGCGAGCUAACAGCCAAGUACGGUUCCCACCACAAGGAAGAGGAAAGCAAAUGGAGAUGCCAAGAACGGCCCUCACUUUGGCUGGCCCUGAACUCACUAUGUGGACCAGGCUGGGGCUGGAAUUGAUCUAAGAUCUCACUGCUUCUGACUCCCUGGUAUUCGGAUUAAAAGUGUACUCAACCACAUCCGGACCAACCAUAGAGUUUUGCUAUAGCUACAGACUAACGCGUCUCAAAUCUUGCUGAUAAACGGGGGCAAACGAGCUGUUUAAAUUCACCGCAAUAAAAGUUAAUCCUCUCAAAGU
Long non-coding RNA from Mastomys coucha (southern multimammate mouse), 550 nucleotides. RefSeq lists it as uncharacterized. The transcript is spliced from 3 exons. Lineage: Eukaryota; Metazoa; Chordata; Mammalia; Rodentia; Muridae. The record is from RefSeq and is a predicted model, not a curated record.